This 405-nucleotide ribosomal RNA is filed under the name uncultured bacterium. Its description in RNAcentral is "partial 16S ribosomal RNA". It matches the Rfam family "Bacterial small subunit ribosomal RNA", at positions 30 to 525 of the family's 1533-position model. The record is from RNAcentral.
AUUGAACGCUGGCGGCAGGCUUAACACAUGCAAGUCGAGCGAGCGGCGGACGGGUGAGUAAUGUCUGGGAAACUGCCUGAUGGAGGGGGAUAACUACUGGAAACGGUAGCUAAUACCGCAUAACAUCAGAUGUACCCAGAUGGGAUUAGCUAGUAGGUGGGGUAAUGGCUCACCGAGGCGACGAUCCCUAGCUGGUCUGAGAGGAUGACCAGCAAAGUGGGAACUGAGCCACGGUCCAGACUCCGACGGGAGGCAGCAGUGGGGAAUAUGGCACAAUGGGCGCAAGCCUGAUGCAGCCAUGCCGCGUGUGUGAAGAAGGCCUUCGGGUUGUAAAGCACUUUCAUCGAGGAGGCGUGACUCGCAGAAGAAGCACCGGCUAACUCCGUGCCAGCAGCCGCGGUAAUU